AGAGUUUGAUCCUGGCUCAGGAUGAACGCUAGCGGCAGGCCUAAUACAUGCAAGUCGAGGGGUAGAGGUUGCUUGCAACCUUGAGACCGGCGCACGGGUGCGUAACGCGUAUGCAACCUACCUUGAUCUGGGGGAUAGCCCGAAGAAAUUCGGAUUAACACCGCAUAAAAUCACAGUACCGCAUGGUACAAUGAUCAAAUAUUUAUAGGAUUGAGAUGGGCAUGCGUGUCAUUAGUUAGUUGGCGGGGUAACGGCCCACCAAGACCGCGAUGACUAGGGGAUCUGAGAGGAUGGCCCCCCACACUGGUACUGAGACACGGACCAGACUCCUACGGGAGGCAGCAGUAAGGAAUAUUGGUCAGUGGAGGCAACUCUGAACCAGCCAUGCCGCGUGCAGGAAGACAGCCCUCUGGGUCGUAAACUGCUUUUAUUCGGGAAUAAACCUACUUACGUGUAAGUAGCUGAAUGUACCGAAGGAAUAAGGAUCGGCUAACUCCGUGCCAGCAGCCGCGGUAAUACGGAGGAUCCAAGCGUUAUCCGGAUUUAUUGGGUUUAAAGGGUGCGUAGGCGGCCUGUUAAGUCAGGGGUGAAAGACGGUAGCUCAACUAUCGCAGUGCCCUUGAUACUGAUGGGCUUGAAUACACUAGAGGUAGGCGGAAUGUGACAAGUAGCGGUGAAAUGCAUAGAUAUGUCACAGAACACCGAUUGCGAAGGCAGCUUACUAUGGUGU
Molecule: ribosomal RNA, 730 nt
Filed under: uncultured bacterium
Lineage: Bacteria
Description: bacterial SSU rRNA
Rfam family: Bacterial small subunit ribosomal RNA
Source: RNAcentral